GGGUGACAGAGAGAGAGAAAACAGAGCCUGGGCGUGUGUGUGUAUGUGUAUGUGUGUGGAGAAAAGGUGACGGAGAGAGCAAGAGAACGGAGCCUGGGCGUGUGUGUGCGUUUGGCUGUGUGACUGCGUGACUCUGUGCAAGAGAGACUGUGUGUGUGUGUGUGUGUGUGUGUGUGUGUGUGUGUCGCUCCAGGAGCAAGCUGUACCUUAAAGCCAUAGACCCCGCCUCGGCCCUGCUCCCCUCCACUUCCACCCCCAGCCAGAACCACCUCCCACCACAUCAGCUGGGAACCAGAGCUGGGCCUGGCCAGGGUGACUCCCGCUUGGCCUGAGGGGACAGAAGCAGCCCCAGCCCUCUCAGGCACCCCCUGCAUGGCUGAGGCUUGAGAGCUCAGAAAUGGGUCCUACUGGAGGAAGGAGAAAGGGGCUUUAUUCCUGAGGAAGGGCAGCCACAGAGCUGUGCCGCAGUCACGAUGGAGACCAUGAGGUUCUGGGUCCCAUGAUGGGCAUCAUUUGAUGAGAAGAUGCCGCGAUCCAGGAAGAGGAUGAGAAAUUACCAGCCCUGAACCCUCCCGGCCCGAACCCAGAGCCAGAAAAAGUAGUAUGCGCUGAAGUGUCCAUAGAAAGCUCCUGGUCCAACUCCUCCAUUUCACAGUUGGGGAAACUGAGGCUGGAAGGGGGAGGAUGGAGGUGGUGAUUUGCCCGAUAUGCCCGAGGAGUGAGAGCCCAAGCCAGGACUGGAGCCCGGUCCCCUGGCCCCAGCCUCCAGCUACCAGGCAGAGCCCGGGUCGCCUAGGGAGCAGCGGGCGCCAGGAGGCCGGGAGGAGGCGGAGGAGCGGGGGCGCGCCCGGCCGCCCCGGCCCCGCGGGCCCCUUCCGGCCCCUCCCCCAGCCUGCGCACCGUCCCGCCACCUGCUCCCCGGUCCGCUGGGGCGGGGCCGCCGCCCCCCGUCUCCAUGGCAACGCGCGGCCCGGCCGGCCGCCCUGGCCUCGCUGCCGCCGCGCAGCCCAUCUGGCCCCAAGCCCGCCCCAGCUGGACCGCCCGAGGCCCCGUCGGCCGGGGGCCCCCACAGCCCCGCGGCGCCCGAGAGCAAGGCAGGAGCGCCGGGCGUCGGGCACCAGCGAUGCCAGCACCUGGGCUGGCUGCGAGGCUCAUCCCGAUGGAUCAGAAGCUGUGCUGCCCUCCCGGAUCCCCGAGUCUAGAGAGUAUCCUCCCCCCCCCCACACCCCCCCCCACCCAGCACAUUCGCUCAGGGCGGCAGGAGGAGCUCUCAGGAUUGGAGGCGAGCUCUCUGGAGCCAGCCACCCUGGAGGCGAAUCCCCAAGGAGGGUGACCCUGGGCAAUUUACUUAAGCUUUUACCCGUCUGAAAAAUGGAGGCGAGCACAGAACCUGGCUCUCUGGGUGGUUGUGAGGGUUAAAUGGGUCAAUAAAGAAAAAUACAUGGAGUGAGCACGCAAUAAGUAUCAGCUAUUAU
Molecule: long non-coding RNA, 1475 nt
Filed under: Equus caballus (horse)
Lineage: Eukaryota; Metazoa; Chordata; Mammalia; Perissodactyla; Equidae
Description: lncRNA (ENSECAG00000052014.1)
Source: RNAcentral